AAGUACGGAAGAGAUAACCGCUGAAAGCAUCUAAGCGGGAAACUCGCCUCAAGAUGAGACUUCCCGGAGGCUAGACCUCCCUGAAGGGUCGUCCAAGACCAGGACGUUGAUAGGCUGGGUGUGGAAGCGCAGUAAUGCGUUAAGCUAACCAGUACUAAUUGCCCGUGCGGCUUGAUCCU
This 179-nucleotide ribosomal RNA is filed under the name Rhodocyclaceae bacterium. Its description in RNAcentral is "partial 23S ribosomal RNA". It matches the Rfam family "Bacterial large subunit ribosomal RNA", at positions 2751 to 2925 of the family's 2925-position model. The record is from RNAcentral. Lineage: Bacteria; Pseudomonadati; Pseudomonadota; Betaproteobacteria; Rhodocyclales; Rhodocyclaceae.